RNAcentral lists this ribosomal RNA (508 nucleotides) under uncultured bacterium. RNAcentral's name for it is "partial 16S ribosomal RNA". It matches the Rfam family "Bacterial small subunit ribosomal RNA", at positions 28 to 523 of the family's 1533-position model. The record is from RNAcentral.
GAUGAACGCUAGCUACAGGCUUAACACAUGCAAGUCGAGGGGAAACGACAUCGAAAGCUUGCUUUUGAUGGGCGUCGACCGGCGCACGGGUGAGUAACGCGUAUCCAACCUGCCCACCACUUGGGGAUAACUUUGCGAAAGUAAGACUAAUACCCAAUGACGUCUCUAGAAAACAUCUGAAAGAGAUUAAAGAUUUAUCGGUGAUGGAUGGGGAUGCGUCUGAUUAGCUUGUUGGCGGGGUAACGGCCCACCAAGGCGACGAUCAGUAGGGGUUCUGAGAGGAAGGUCCCCCACAUUGGAACUGAGACACGGUCCAAACUCCUACGGGAGGCAGCAGUGAGGAAUAUUGGUCAAUGGACGAGAGUCUGAACCAGCCAAGUAGCGUGCAGAAUGACGGCCCUAUGGGUUGUAAACUGCUUUUAUAAGGGAAUAAAGUGAGAGUCGUGACUCUUUUUGCAUGUACCUUAUGAAUAAGGACCGGCUAAUUCCGUGCCAGCCGCCGCCGUAA